Molecule: RNA transcript, 920 nt
Organism: Triticum aestivum (bread wheat)
Lineage: Eukaryota; Viridiplantae; Streptophyta; Magnoliopsida; Poales; Poaceae
Gene name: gamma-gliadin-like
Exons: 2
Source: RefSeq, a predicted model, not a curated record
UCAUCCAAACUUCACACACCUAGACCACAAGCAUCAAAAGCAAGCAAGCAGUAGUAACCACAAAUCCAACAUGAAGACCUUCCUCAUCUUUGUCCUCCUUGCCAUGGCGAUGAACAUCGCCACUGCCGCUAGGCAGCUAAACCCUAGCAACAAAGAAUUACAAUCACCUCAACAAUCAUUUUCCUAUCAACAACAACCAUUUCUACAACAGCCAUAUCCACAACAACCAUAUCCAUCACAGCAACCAUAUCCAUCGCAACAACCAUUUCCCACACCCCAACAACAAUUUUCCCAGCAAUCACAACAACCAUUUCCCCAGACCCAACAAUCAUUCCCUCUGCAACCACAACAGCCAUUCCCCCAGCAACCCCAACAACCAUUUCCCCGGCCCCAACUACCAUUCCCCCAGCAACCAGAACAAAUAAUUCCCCAACAACCAUUCCCCCUACAACCAUUCCCCCAACAACCACAAUAAUCAUUCCUCCUAGGACCGCAACAACCAUUUCCCCAGCAACCCCAACAAUCACAACAAUCAUUUCCCCAGCCCCAACCCCAGCAACCCCAACAACCAUCCAUCCUGCAACCACAACAACCAUUACCCCAACAACCACAACAACCAUUUCUACAGCCCCAACAACAAUUAUCCCAGCAACCAGAACAAACAAUUUCCCAGCAACCCCAGCAACCACACCAACCUCAACAACCAUAUCCACAACAACAACCAUAUGAGACUAGUCUUACAAGCAUCGGUGGCCAAUGAAAUGAAGACCUACAAUACAAGAUGGAUGGAUCAUCGUUGUUUAGUCAAUGAGCGUUCAAUGUAACGAUGAUAAAUAAAGUGAUGUGCACCAUAAUGUGUAACCCCGACCUAUACUAGUUCAAACAUGGGAAUAAAAGACAAAGAAAGUUCUUGUCACAAA